GGGGCAGGCUGGUCCGGGCGGGCGAGGCGCAGGGCUCUCCCACACGUCGCGCCGCCAAUGGCAAGUUGGAGGGCGAGAUGCAAAUACCAGCCCAGCUCUCAGAAGCAAACUCAGCAGGGACAGAGCAGACAGAAGCGCUGAGGACUCACGGUGGAUCCCUCCUGUAAGUGUGUGUGGUGGAAACCAAGGCUGAAGACUCAAGGCAGCAUCUGAGGCCAAGUCUUGCUCUUGGGAAGAGCAAAGAGGUUCCUACUGCAGACCAAGUCACGGUGACCUGCAUGCAGCCCAUGGCUCGUGGGAACCCCGUGCAUUCCCACCUUUCCCAGGCACUCUGAACAGACAACAGCACCGUGAUCAGAGUGAAGCCAAGGAGGCUGGGUCUCAGCUGACCUGCCCGCAGCCUGGUGCAGCUGCAGCACGAUAGCGCCACAUGGACGCUUCACCCCGGGAGCACCAAGUGAUUCCUGCAUAGCCUGAGUGAUCUGGGGAACAGGGACGUGAGCAGCCAUCAAGCUGCUGUUCCCUCCUCAGACAGAGAAGAGACCGCGAGGAGAAGAGGAGGCGCUAGUCGCGUAUGGCGCACUUUACAUUUUAUAAGGGAAUGGUGCACCCUGCAGUUGUGCAGGGAGACUUGAAGAGGGAGCUGGAGUAGGAGGGAGCUCAGGAAGGGCUCAGACAUGGCUCCUGGGCGCAGCCAUCUGGUUCAGGGGAUGGAGGGCAUGGCGGGCUCAUGAGACCCCAUUUAGCAUCUUGCUGAGGAGCAAGCCCAGGCUGAGGGCUGUACCAGGAGAUGGAUGACCCUGCUCUCUGGGGAUUGCCCCAUCCCACAGGGAAGCAAGGGCAUGACUGAGACACUGUAAGACAGAGGCAUAGCUGAGGCCAACAGGAAGUCAGCCGCUCCUCAGUUUCCCCACCCUGUCCUCACGUCACGGGAUGAGGGUUAUUGUUGUUGUUUAAUGCAGCAAAAUACAACAUUUAAUGUCUAUAAAGGUGCAGCAUGAGUCAUUUCACGGAAUGUCUAGGCCCCUUUUGCUGGCAGCAAACAAACUUUCCAGCCCUCUUUUGAGGAAGCUA
Long non-coding RNA from Chinchilla lanigera (long-tailed chinchilla), 1074 nucleotides. RefSeq lists it as uncharacterized. NCBI's taxonomy places the organism in Eukaryota, Metazoa, Chordata, Mammalia, Rodentia, Chinchillidae. The record is from RefSeq and is a predicted model, not a curated record. The transcript is spliced from 3 exons.